This 274-nucleotide ribosomal RNA is filed under the name uncultured bacterium. RNAcentral's name for it is "partial 16S ribosomal RNA". It matches the Rfam family "Bacterial small subunit ribosomal RNA", at positions 523 to 796 of the family's 1533-position model. The record is from RNAcentral.
AUACGGAGGGUGCAAGCGUUACUCGGAAUCACUGGGCGUAAAGCGCGCGCAGGCGGCUUGAUAAGUUGGAUGUGAAAGCCUACGGCUCAACCGUAGAACUGCAUCCAAAACUGUCAAGCUAGAGUCUGGGAGGGGAAGAUGGAAUUAGUUGUGUAGGGGUAAAAUCCGUAGAGAUAACUAGGAAUACCAAAAGCGAAGGCGAUCUUCUGGAACAGUACUGACGCUGAGGCGCGAAGGCGUGGGGAGCAAACAGGAUUAGAUACCCGGGUAGUCC